This 253-nucleotide ribosomal RNA is filed under the name uncultured bacterium. RNAcentral describes it as "partial 16S ribosomal RNA". It matches the Rfam family "Bacterial small subunit ribosomal RNA", at positions 524 to 776 of the family's 1533-position model. The record is from RNAcentral.
UACAGAGGGUGCGAGCGUUGUCCGGAAUCACUGGGCGUAAAGGGCGCGUAGGCGGCUUGAUAAGCGUGCGGUGAAAGCCCGGGGCUCAACCCCGGGUCGGCCGUGCGAACUGUCGAGCUGGAGCACUGUAGAGGCAGGUGGAAUUCCGGGUGUAGCGGUGGAAUGCGUAGAUAUCAGGAGGAACACCUAUGGCGAAAGCAGGUUUCUGGGCCAUCACUGACGCUGAGCUGCGAAAGCUAGGGGAGCAAACAGG